ACCUCGGAUCAGGUAGGAAUACCCGCUGAACUUAAGCAUAUCAAUAAGCGGAGGAAAAGAAACCAACAGGGAUUGCCCUAGUAACGGCGAGUGAAGCGGCAACAGCUCAAAUUUGAAAUCUGGCCUUCGGGUCCGAGUUGUAAUUUGUAGAGGAUGCUUUUGGUGAGGUACCUUCCGAGUUCCCUGGAACGGGACGCCAUAGAGGGUGAGAGCCCCGUCUGGUUGGAUACCGAUCCUCUGUAAAGCUCCUUCGACGAGUCGAGUAGUUUGGGAAUGCUGCUCUAAAUGGGAGGUAUAUGUCUUCUAAAGCUAAAUAUUGGCCAGAGACCGAUAGCGCACAAGUAGAGUGAUCGAAAGAUGAAAAGCACUUUGAAAAGAGAGUUAAAAAGUACGUGAAAUUGUUGAAAGGGAAGCGCUCAUGACCAGACUUGGGCUUGGUUGAUCAUCCAGGGUUCUCCCUGGUGCACUCUUCCAGCCCAGGCCAGCAUCAGUUCGCUGUGGGGGAUAAAGGCUUCGGGAAUGUGGCUCCUCCGGGAGUGUUAUAGCCCGCUGCGUAAUACCCUGUGGUGGACUGAG
Molecule: ribosomal RNA, 576 nt
Filed under: Neonectria sp. C_BESC_184ad
Lineage: Eukaryota; Fungi; Ascomycota; Sordariomycetes; Hypocreales; Nectriaceae
Also listed under: 1 other name
Description: eukaryotic LSU rRNA
Rfam family: Eukaryotic large subunit ribosomal RNA
Source: RNAcentral